AUGUCGGCUCAUCACAUCCUGGGGCUGAAGCAGGUCCCAAGGGUACGGCUGUUCGCCGUUUAAAGUGGUACGCGAGCUGGGUUUAAAACGUCGUGAGACAGUUUGGUCCCUAUCUGCUGCGGGCGUAGGAUAUUUGAGAGGGCCUGUCCCUAGUACGAGAGGACCGGGAUGGACGAACCACUGGUGGACCUGUUGUCGUGCCAACGGCACAGCAGGGUAGCCACGUUCGGAAGGGAUAACCGCUGAAAGCAUCUAAGCGGGAAGCCUGCCUCAAGAUAAGAUAUCCUUGCGCAAGUGAAAGGCCCCUUGUAGACCACAAGGUAGAUAGGCCGGGAGUGCAAGCGCGGUGACGCGUUAAGCUUACCGGUACUAACAGGCCGAAAACUUGAACUU
RNAcentral lists this ribosomal RNA (393 nucleotides) under Desulfovibrio sp. RNAcentral's name for it is "partial 23S ribosomal RNA". It matches the Rfam family "Bacterial large subunit ribosomal RNA", at positions 2529 to 2925 of the family's 2925-position model. The record is from RNAcentral. Lineage: Bacteria; Pseudomonadati; Thermodesulfobacteriota; Desulfovibrionia; Desulfovibrionales; Desulfovibrionaceae.